Molecule: long non-coding RNA, 1250 nt
Filed under: Oryza brachyantha (malo sina)
Lineage: Eukaryota; Viridiplantae; Streptophyta; Magnoliopsida; Poales; Poaceae
Description: long non-coding RNA (OBRA_LNC002639)
Source: RNAcentral
UAUAAGACAUCGAUUUCUCCAUUGUACAAGCAUGUGGUACAAUCGAAAAACGGUGGUACGAUGCAAACUUAGACAUAUAGAGAGAGAGAUACGGUUAACACAAUAGUGACUCCAAACAUCGCUUUCUUGUCGUGCCUUCUCCAAACGAGUUAAAUGCAUCGGAGCUGGCUCAUACUGAUGCAUGAUUGUUCAAGUCUAGCAAGCGAUGCGUCGUCGGCAGUUGGAGCCCAAGGAUGAAUGGGCGACACCGAUGGUUGGAAGCUCGGCGGGGGGGGGCGGUUGCACUGCCAUGCCCAUGUCUUGAGUCUGUCGCAAUGGGAGAGCGAUGUAAGACGCAGGGAGGCAAGAACGUAGAGCAAGUAUAAUAGCAGGCUAUAAGUCAGUUAAAUGCUGAUGUGAAAGAGAGAAGGGAGGAGAGAGAAGCUGGCUAUAGAGCAAGUAUAAUAGCUGGCUAUAAGCCAGCUAACUGCUGAUGUGGAAGAGAGAAGGGAGGAGAGAGAGGAGAAGCUGGCUAUAAGCUUAUAGCCAGCUCAGGCACAAGAACCAAGACACCAUGUGAAAGAGACAUGUGGGUCCUUUAUUAAAGAUGAAGAGCUAACCAUUAUAUGAGUGGACUAUAAGAAGACUACAAGGAGUCUUAUAGCCAGCUUGUUGGCUAUAUUAUUAGCCUUGCUUUAAGCUUAUAGCCAGCUCAGACACAAGAACCAAGACACCAUGUGAGAGAGAUAUGUGGGUUCUACAUUAAAGAUGAAGAGUUAACCAUUAUAUGAGUGGGUUAUAAGAAGACUACAAGUUGGCUAUAUUAUUAGCCUUGCUCUUAGUGGCGACGACCUCCUGCUACAGCCAUUCAUGGUGGGAACCAGUAUUGGGCCUGUGGUCUGCUGAGCAGACUCAACCUAUUUAAUCUAAAUGGCUCAAUUGACCUCGACAUUACUUAACCAGAUGACAAAAAUAUCCAUCAAAAUCAACAUUUAGAAUUGUUCCUACUACACUACUACCACCUGCAGUGGGAGGUAUUGUAGUGUUCCUACUACACUACUGCCACCAUGACAAAAUGAACAUAAGAAUGGUGUUUUAAUCCUCUUGUAAAUUGCAUUGUUCAUGUUAGUCUCAACCCUGAAGUAUCAAUCAUCUCUGGAUGAUCAAAAUGCGGGUCCAACGUUGCACAUGGAUAACCCAAAAAAAAAAAAGAGGAACAUAUGGCUGCAGCGGCAACUAGGGCGCGGACCUGUUUGACAGAGCAGCUUAAC